ACGAACGCUGGCGGCACGCCUAACACAUGCAAGUCGAACGGCAGCAGGUCCUUCGGGACGCUGGCGAGUGGCGAACGGGUGCGUAACACGUGGAUACCUGCCCAGAGGCGGGGGACGAACAACUGGAAACGGUUGCUAAUACCGCAUAAGCCCUACGGGGGAAAGGCUUCGGCCACCUUUGGAGGGGUCCGCGUCGGAUUAGCUUGUUGGUGAGGUAACGGCUCACCAAGGCGACGAUCCGUAGCUGGUCUGAGAGGAUGAUCAGCCACACUGGGACUGAGACACGGCCCAGACUCCUACGGGAGGCAGCAGUGGGGAAUAUUGCGCAAUGGGGGGAAACCCCUGACGCAGCGAUGCCGCGUGGGUGAAGAAGGCCUUCGGGUUGUAAAGCCCUUUCAGCAGGGACGAUAAUGACGGUACCUGCAGAAGAAGACUCCGGCUAACUCCGUGCCAGCAGCCGCGGUAAUU
This 468-nucleotide ribosomal RNA is filed under the name uncultured Magnetococcaceae bacterium. RNAcentral's name for it is "bacterial SSU rRNA". It matches the Rfam family "Bacterial small subunit ribosomal RNA", at positions 29 to 525 of the family's 1533-position model. The record is from RNAcentral. Lineage: Bacteria; Pseudomonadati; Pseudomonadota; Magnetococcia; Magnetococcales; Magnetococcaceae.